RNAcentral lists this transfer RNA (72 nucleotides) under Pangasianodon hypophthalmus (striped catfish). Its description in RNAcentral is "tRNA-Glu". Lineage: Eukaryota; Metazoa; Chordata; Actinopteri; Siluriformes; Pangasiidae. The record is from RNAcentral.
UCUUUGGAGGACUAGCGGUUAGGCCUCUGUGCUCUCACCCCGGCGGCUCGGGUUCAACUCCUGGCCAGGGAA